GAUGAAGAACGUAGCGAAAUGGGAUAAGUAAUGUGAAUUGCAGAAUUCAGUGAAUCAUCGAAUCUUUGAACGCACAUUGCGCCCCCUGGUAUUCCGGGGGGCAUGCCUGUUCGAGCGUCAUUUCACCACUCAAGCCUCGCUUGGUAUUGGGCAACGCGGUCCGCCGCGUGCCUCAAAUCGACCGGCUGGGUCUUCUGUCCCCUAAGCGUUGUGGAAACUAUUCGCUAAAGGGUGUUCGGGAGGCUACGCCGUAAAACAACCCCAUUUCUAAGGUUGACCUCGGAUCAGGUAGGGAUACCCGCUGAACUUAAGCAUAUCAAUAAGCGGAGGA
Molecule: unclassified non-coding RNA, 331 nt
Filed under: soil metagenome
Description: partial contains 5.8S ribosomal RNA, internal transcribed spacer 2, and large subunit ribosomal RNA
Rfam family: 5.8S ribosomal RNA (bases 1-120)
Source: RNAcentral